CUGCGCAGGCCUAACACAUGCAAGUCGAGCGGAUGAGGGAAGCUUGCUUCCUGAUUUAGCGGCGGACGGGUGAGUAAUGCCUAGGAAUCUGCCUGUUAGUGGGGGAUAACGUUCCGAAAGGAACGCUAAUACCGCAUACGUCCUACGGGAGAAAGUGGGGGAUCUUCGGACCUCACGCUAACAGAUGAGCCUAGGUCGGAUUAGCUAGUAGGUGAGGUAAUGGCUCACCUAGGCUACGAUCCGUAACUGGUCUGAGAGGAUGAUCAGUCACACUGGAACUGAGACACGGUCCAGACUCCUACGGGAGGCAGCAGUGGGGAAUAUUGGACAAUGGGCGAAAGCCUGAUCCAGCCAUGCCGCGUGUGUGAAGAAGGUCUUCGGAUUGUAAAGCACUUUAAGUUGGGAGGAAGG
This 411-nucleotide ribosomal RNA is filed under the name uncultured bacterium. Its description in RNAcentral is "bacterial SSU rRNA". It matches the Rfam family "Bacterial small subunit ribosomal RNA", at positions 39 to 451 of the family's 1533-position model. The record is from RNAcentral.